This 158-nucleotide unclassified non-coding RNA is filed under the name rhizosphere metagenome. RNAcentral describes it as "partial ribosomal RNA internal transcribed spacer region". The record is from RNAcentral.
GUAGGUGAACCUGCGGAUGGAUUAUUAACAAUUUUUAUUAACAAACACUUGUGAACUGUAUGUUGGGAGGUUUAUCCACCAAUUUUUAUUUAUUUUUUAUACUGAAAACAUGAUAUAUAACAAUCAUAAAACUUUUAGCAACGGAUCUCUGGGCUCUC